Molecule: long non-coding RNA, 2127 nt
Organism: Cercocebus atys (sooty mangabey)
Lineage: Eukaryota; Metazoa; Chordata; Mammalia; Primates; Cercopithecidae
Exons: 3
Source: RefSeq, a predicted model, not a curated record
UCGGCCUCCCAAAGUGCUGGGAUUACAGGCGUGAGCCACCACGCCCGGCCUAAGGCUGCCUCCUUUCAUGCAUAAUUUUUCUUACUUUGUUUUCUGACCCCGGACCCUGUUGCGCAGGUGUGAAAGAUACAGAGCAAGUAAUGACCCCACUGACCUGAGUCUGCACCGCUUUUCCCCAGAUAGCAUGUGGCUCACUCUCAUCCCGCAGGGUUCCGUUCCAGUGUUUCUCAUGGGAGAGGUUUCCCUGAUGAUUUUAUCUAAAAUUGCAAUCCCCUCUCUCUCCAAACUGGCAUGCCCUCACCACUGUUUUCCCCGCAGUUCUUACCAUUGCCUGACGCUACACAUGCGGAGGGCCUAGCCAAGAAGCCAUCGGGGGCUGAGGGAAGGACGGCUCCAGCGAAGCCGGGAACAGCGGAGGGAAGGUUUUGGGACGGAGCUCCCUGUAGUGCACGGGGAGAGCUAUGAGGAGCCGCCCUUUGCAUGGGUCCGUAGAAGGUUAAGGGACAGAGCUGCCAGGGCGUCGGGGGCGGUGGCAGGCCGAGAUCCAGUGGAUCUUGGUAUCUCUGAUUAGCCGCUUCCACUAUUUUUUGGAACUCUGGAUGGAUAUUAAUUAGAUAAUCGCUGCAAAUUACUAAUUUGUAAUACUAAUUACCUUUGAUCCUGAUGUGGCAGGCCUGCCAUUUUUGUGUUGCUGCAACAGGCCAGCUGGGAAGUUCAAGAUUGGACAGCUGCAUCUGGCAGCUUCUGAUGAGGGCUUUGUGCUGCAUCAAAACAUGGCAGAGAAAUGGAAGGCGGACCAGGUGCAUGGGGGAAAGGAGGAAAACAUGAGGCGCGACCUUGCUUGAUGACAACCCAACUCUAAAGCAGAAGGCCUCUGGCUCUUUCCCUGUGUUGACUGGAGGCUGAGUCUCUGUCCUCGACACCCCACGCGCUGCUGCCUCCUCUGCCCUGCCUGGGGAGCCCUGCCCGGUCUGGCCCUGUGCUGGGAACAGCCAGAGCUGGGGCUUCUUGCGCUUCCUGUUCACACCCACGGAACCAGCUUUGCCUUCCCCUCUGCUGUGCAGGGAGAAGGGAGGUGGGAGGUGCGGCGGGGAUGGUCCCGUCUGUGGCUUCCUGCUUCUCGGCUGGCAGGAGGAAGGCAGGUUUUCUGUGUCUGUGUCUCUGUGGUCUUUCAGGCUCAGCACUUGGGUAGGAAGAUGAAAACCUCGGAGUGCCCUUGUCUCUUUCCCUCGGGUCUGAUCAGACCAAAGCCUUGUGUGGUGGAGGAGCUGAAAGGAUGUGGCACGGGGAGGCUGGCAGCCCGGCGCUGCUCGGCUCACUUUUCCCUCUGCCAGCCUUUGUUACCAAGGGGUUUGGACUUGAUCUUGCAAAUGGAUCAUCUCUUGAUCCUUCUCUAGCCUCUAGGGACAAAUAUACUAGAAGAAAUGGUCAUGACAAUUGGUGCCACCAGCAGGAGGGAUAGCCAGGAAGCAAGGGUUGGAAUGGUUUCUCCUUGAGAGAAGCAAGCCUCUGAGUCCAAGGCCCUCCACCAAGCGGUUCUGGUCCGGUGCUCCAGCCUCACCACCCGUCCUGCGCCAUGCAUGGAGUUGGGGUUGUAACCACACACAAACACAGCGUUCUGCCAACGCACCCUCCUCAAGGUCUCUCAUCAUCCCUCCUUCCCAUCUCCUCCACUGGAGCACGGCCACAGCAGUAUUCACUGACUUCCAGUUUCCUGCGGGAUAAAUCUGAACCCUUUGUCGUGGCACCCAAAGUCCUUGCCCAGCUGCGCAGUCCCAGCUCCUCUUCAUCGUGUGCGGCAACUUGUUCUCCAAGCAGCCUCUGCUUUCUCAAGCAUAGAAGCUGAGCUGUGUCAUCUCCUCUGCCUGUACCCCUUCUUUUCUGUCUCUGCUGGAGAACCCCUGCUCAGCCUCAGGAAAGAUGUUUAAGGGACAGUUAUGCAUGAGGGUUUAGAGUUCAGAGACCCAGUCUGUCCUGGAGGUCAAGGGCAUGUUGUUGGCAAUUGAAGCCUCAACAAUUCAAUCGAGUGAAUACAUGAGUGAAUAGAUGAACUGUUGCGGAAUCAGAAACUGAGGCUCAAGCUGGGCACGGUGACUCACGCCUAUAAUUCCAGCACUUUGGAAGGCU